CACUAGUGAUUGGUGUUCUUCCCGAUAUCUACACAUUCCACCGUUACACCGGGAAUUCCAGUCUCCCCUACCGCACUCAAGCCCGCCCGUACCCGGCGCGGAUCCACCGUUAAGCGAUGGACUUUCACACCGGACGCGACGAACCGCCUACGAGCCCUUUACGCCCAAUAAUUCCGGAUAACGCUCGCACCCUACGUAUUACCGCGGCUGCUGGCACGUAGUUAGCCGGUGCUUAUUCGAACAAUCCACUCAACACGGCCGAAACCGUGCCUUGCCCUUGAACAAAAGCGGUUUACAACCCGAAGGCCUCCAUCCCGCACGCGGCGUCGCUGCAUCAGGCUUGCGCCCAUUGUGCAAUAUUCCCCACUGCUGCCUCCCGUAGGAGUCUGGGCCGUAUCUCAGUCCCAAUGUGGCCGGUCACCCUCUCAGGCCGGCUACCCGUCAACGCCUUGGUGGGCCAUCACCCCGCCAACAAGCUGAUAGGACGCGACCCCA
This 495-nucleotide ribosomal RNA is filed under the name uncultured Bifidobacterium sp. Its description in RNAcentral is "partial 16S rRNA". Lineage: Bacteria; Bacillati; Actinomycetota; Actinomycetes; Bifidobacteriales; Bifidobacteriaceae. The record is from RNAcentral.